This 385-nucleotide ribosomal RNA is filed under the name uncultured bacterium. Its description in RNAcentral is "bacterial SSU rRNA". It matches the Rfam family "Bacterial small subunit ribosomal RNA", at positions 384 to 760 of the family's 1533-position model. The record is from RNAcentral.
UGACGCAGCAACGCCGCGUGAGUGAUGAAGGCCUUCGGGUCGUAAAGCUCUGUCAAGUGGGAAGAACCCUUACAGCCGGACAAUGGUUGUGAGCUGACGGUACCACUGAAGGAAGCACCGGCUAACUCCGUGCCAGCAGCCGCGGUAAUACGGAGGGUGCAAGCGUUAUUCGGAAUUACUGGGCGUAAAGGGCGCGCAGGCGGCCAUGUAAGUCAGUUGUGAAAGCCCGGGGCUCAACCCCGGAAGUGCGACUGAAACUGUGUGGCUUGAGUAUGGUAGAGGGAAGUGGAAUUCCUGGUGUAGCGGUGAAAUGCGUAGAUAUCAGGAGGAACACCGGUGGCGAAGGCGACUUCCUGGACCAAUACUGACGCUGAGGCGCGAAGGC